Rhincodon typus (whale shark) is the source of this 279-nucleotide long non-coding RNA. RefSeq lists it as uncharacterized. The transcript is spliced from 2 exons. NCBI's taxonomy places the organism in Eukaryota, Metazoa, Chordata, Chondrichthyes, Orectolobiformes, Rhincodontidae. The record is from RefSeq and is a predicted model, not a curated record.
CUGUGGAAAAGGUCCUCAAAAUAAUGAAGGAGAAUGCAAACAAAGCUUUGAGUAUUAUUCUCACUGCAAUUCCACAAAUUGCAUCCAUGGAUUGGUCUGAGAGCAUCAAGAGUUUGAGAAUCAGUCAGGAAGGUUCAGUUAUGUUGCCAAGGCAUUAAAACUUAAAGAGAUUGGAAGAUGUUUCAACUCCUGAAGACAAUUCACAUUACAGCUGAUACCAGUGAUUCCAGUGUGCUACUGUCACUGUAUGUGCAACAUAAUAAAAAUUCAAACAACUUC